GCCAGGUGUGGUGGCAUGCGCCUGUAGUCCCAGCUACUCAGGAGGCUGAGGUGGGAGGAUCGCUUGAGCCCAGGAGGUUGAGGCUGCAGUGAGCCAUGAUUGUGCCACUGCACUCCAGCCUGGGCUACAGAGGGAGACCCUGUCUCAA
Molecule: unclassified non-coding RNA, 148 nt
Organism: Pongo abelii (Sumatran orangutan)
Lineage: Eukaryota; Metazoa; Chordata; Mammalia; Primates; Hominidae
Rfam family: Metazoan signal recognition particle RNA
About the family: The signal recognition particle (SRP) is a universally conserved ribonucleoprotein. It is involved in the co-translational targeting of proteins to membranes.
Source: Ensembl